CAGCAGCCGCGGUAAUACGGAGGGUGCAAGCGUUAAUUGGAAUUACUGGGCGUAAAGCGCACGCAGGCGGUCUGACAAGUCAGAUGUGAAAUCCCCGGGCUUAACCUGGGAACUGCAUUUGAAACUGUCAGGCUGGAGUCUUGUAGAGGGGGGUGGAAUUCCAGGUGUAGCGGUGAAAUGCGUAGAGAUCUGGAGGAAUACCGGUGGCGAAGGCGGCCCCCUGGACAAAGACUGACGCUCAGGUGCGAAAGCGUGGGGAGCAAACAGGAUUAGAUACCCGUGUAGUCCCUGUCUCUUAUAU
RNAcentral lists this ribosomal RNA (301 nucleotides) under uncultured bacterium. RNAcentral describes it as "partial 16S ribosomal RNA". It matches the Rfam family "Bacterial small subunit ribosomal RNA", at positions 509 to 809 of the family's 1533-position model. The record is from RNAcentral.